Molecule: ribosomal RNA, 210 nt
Filed under: uncultured Latescibacterota bacterium
Lineage: Bacteria; Pseudomonadati; Candidatus Latescibacterota
Description: uncultured Latescibacteria bacterium partial 16S ribosomal RNA
Rfam family: Bacterial small subunit ribosomal RNA
Source: RNAcentral
CGUGUAGGCGGUCAGGUAAGUGGAAUGUGAAAUGCCCCGGCUCACCCGGGGACCGGCAUCCCAAACUGCCUGGCUUGAGUAUGGGAGAGGAUGGAGGAAUUCCUGGUGUAGCGGUGAAAUGCGUAGAUAUCAGGAGGAACACCGGUGGCGAAGGCGUCCAUCUGGCCCAAUACUGACGCUGAGGCGCGAAAGCUAGGGGGAGCAAACGGG